UACGUAGGGGGCAAGCGUUGUCCGGAAUUAUUGGGCGUAAAGCGCGUGUAGGCGGCUCGGUAAGUCUGCUGUGAAAGUCCAAGGCUCAACCUUGGAAUGCCGGUGGAUACUGUCGAGCUCGAGUCCGGAAGAGGCGAGUGGAAUUCCCAGUGUAGAGGUGAAAUUCGUAGAUAUUGGGAAGAACACCGGUGGCGAAGGCGGCUCUCUGGACCGAGACUGACGCUGAGGCGCGAAAGCGUGGGGAGCAAACAGG
This 253-nucleotide ribosomal RNA is filed under the name uncultured bacterium. RNAcentral's name for it is "partial 16S ribosomal RNA". It matches the Rfam family "Bacterial small subunit ribosomal RNA", at positions 524 to 776 of the family's 1533-position model. The record is from RNAcentral.